UCCCAUCUCAACUGAUUGCUUGACUUAGGUUUCGUUUGGGAUUGCAGGGGGAUUGCGUUACGUGCGGUGAGAAACGACGAUGGAAAAAUAUUCUGUUUGUUUCCGUACGUAAUAUUGCAUUCCGCAUAUUACGGUUAGUCAGUUAUAAUAUAUUUUCUGCGGUCCCAUCAGAGAACGCAGAAGCAUAGCUCUCUAUACUUUUUCUUAACUCCAUUUUAUCUAACAGCGUUAGAUUGACCUCAAUACCAAACUAAGCCUUAAAGAAAGCCAUCAACCGAAGGUCAUAUUCACAGCCGAAUUACAACUAGGGAUGGUAAUCUAGCUCACGGUUCACGAGCUAGCUCGUGUUCGGCUUGAAAUGAGCUCAAGAUCGAAUCGCUCGUUUAGUAAAUGAGCCGAAUACGAGCUGAAUUUUUCAGCUCGUUUAAUAAACGAGCCAAACACGAGCUGGGUCAGCUCGCUAGUAUUCGGCUCGAUAACAGCUGGAAUACAUAUAUUUUAUAUUUAUAUAAUUUAUUUAAUUUAUAUUUAUAUAUAUAAAUAAAUAAUUAUAAAUAUAAUAUAUAUUUUUAUUAUUUGAUUUUUAGUAAAAUAAAAAUAUAAAGGCGAGCUCAAUUAUAAAAAGACUCAUUUAUAUGUAAAGUUUCAACCAUUAGAUUAAAGUCUAAUGGAUAAGAUUUUAUAAAUUUAUUUUUUAUACAUAUCCAAUAUAAUUCUUUUAACUUAUUAUUCAUUGGCUAGCUCGUGAGCCAUCUCGUGUUCGGCUCGUUUAUUAAUGAGUUGAACAUGAGCUGAAUUUUUCGACUCGAUACUUUAACAAGUUAGCUCGUGUUCAACUCGUUUAUUAUUAAACAAGCUGAAUA
RNAcentral lists this long non-coding RNA (863 nucleotides) under Ananas comosus (pineapple). Its description in RNAcentral is "long non-coding RNA (ACOM_LNC017524)". Lineage: Eukaryota; Viridiplantae; Streptophyta; Magnoliopsida; Poales; Bromeliaceae. The record is from RNAcentral.